AGAUUCAGUGGAGUCCAAUUCCACCUCUGCAGCCUCCUGGUUAGCUUUCUGGCCACUACUUGAUGCCUAUGAACCCAUAUCCUUAUCAUUAAGAUGGAUUUCUUGAUACAUAUUUGUACUUAUUUCCCUAAACUCAUGUAUAUACAUGAAGUACCUAGCACAAUGCCCACCCCAGUUAGCAUCUCCAUUUCACUCCUUGAAGACAAUGGGCAAAAUUGCCAAACAUUGGACAGAUUUUUAAAAGGAUGAGACUGAGGUGAAAUAAGAUUCAGCCAUUUUUUCCUUCGAGUUUGUUCAGCUUUAUAAUUUACCUAAGUGGGAGCACUUUGCAGAAUUAAAGGAGUCGAUAAAAUAAUUAAAAUUGUACUAUUUUUGAAACGUUUAUGCACCAAACAAUUGUUUUUAUCAUAUUGGUGGACCUAUAAGUAGUGCUACUCAAAAGCUAAUUUCAAAAAUAGAAUUCUCUCCAAAAUAAUAACACAUAUGUAUGUACAUUAAAAAGCAAAAUUUAAAAAUAAUUCUAUUGAUUGAACAUUAAACAUUGCAGAAGCAAUGACUCUUGGUACCUGUUCAUAUAAUUUGGUCAGUUCCUUAUUAGUUUUCUCUAAUAAAGUGUCAUUCUUUUUAAAGAAUGUAUUUUUUCCAAAAGGGUCUUAUUAUUUUCAGUUUUUAUAUGAAAUUGUCCGUAGUCUUUAAAAUUGCAUUAAUGUGGGAAACUUAGGUGGCUCAGCUGUUGAGUGCCUGCCUUCGGCUCAGGUCGUGAUCCCGGGGUCCUGGAUUUGAGUCCCACAUUGGGCUCCUUGUGGGGAGCCUGCUUCUCCCUCUGUGUCUCUGCCUCUCUCUGUGUCUCUCAUGAAUAAAUAAAUAAAACCUUAAAAAAAUAAAAUUAAAUUGCAUUAACAGUUAAUAAAUGUGAAAUUUUGACAUUUUCAAUUUACUCUUCUUUGUAUACUAAUAUUUUUAAUUGCCCAAUUAGUUUCUAUAGCUGCGGAUAUACAUGAUAGGCUCAAAGCAAAUUCUGUUAAAUGGAGGAUACUUAUAGUUCUAUUUUUUUGGAUUGAAGUAUGUAAAUUUUAACCUAAUACUCUUUUGCUUGCUAUUUUAACCUAAUAUUCUUUUGCUUCCAUUCAGACUAAUUUCAAUAAGUGUUGUUUUAAUUUUAAAAUUUGAGUAUAGUUGACACACAAUGUGACAUUAGUUUCAGGUGUAUGACGCAGUGAUUCAAAAUCUCUAUACCUUAUGCUGUGCUCACCCUGCCUCCAACACUAUUAUAUCAACUACAUUCCCUGUGGUGUGCCUUCUGUCCCCAUGACUCAUUCAUUCCUCAACUGGGAGCCUGUACCUCCCACUCCCCUUCACCCAUUUGGCCCAUCCCCCAACCCCUUCCUCACUGGCAAUCAAUGGUUCUCUGUAUUUACAGGUCUGAUUCUGCUUUUUUGUUUGUUUAUUCCUUUGUUUUGUUUUGUUUUUAUUCCACAUAUGAGUAAAGUCAUAGGGUCUUGUCUUUCUCAGCCUUACUUAUUACACUUAGCAUAAUAGAUUAGACAUUAAUAAGUCAGGCUAAGAUAAAGAAGUUGUUUUUAUUUUUUAUUUUAUUUUUUAAGAAGUUGUUUUCAUUUAUGAUUUGUUUGCCAUACUUAGAUGCUGUGAAGUAGAUGUUUCUAUUAAUCCUAUUCCAAAACAAAAUAUUAAUUUGCGCAAUUAUAAGUGGGAAUUUCAUACAAAGAGUUUUCUCAAACUCUUUGAGAUGCUUCUAAUGAAAUCAUGCAUGGUUGGAGCUCUCAUCAUGUAAUUUGCUUAGUUUUUGUUGGAACAAAUUUCAAUGUCUUACUGUUUGCAAGCUUUGUUUUCAAUCAUUGCAAUUCAAAUUAAAAGCUGCAAUACCUAAAGCUGCUGGUGCUCCAUUCAUCAAAUAUCUUAAUCAAAAAUCUCCAACUUUAUUCAUUUCCCAUGGCUAAUGUGACAAAUUACUGCACAUUUGGUGGUUUAUGACACAGAAAUUUAGUUCUAAUUGCCUAAAGUCUGAAAUCCAUCUCACUAGCCAAAGUCAGUGUCUAUGGCCACACCCCGCCUGAGACUCCUGGGGAGAAUCCCUUCUUGCCUCAGCCUCUGGUGGUUGUCAGCAAUCCUUGGACUGUGUCUGUAUCAUGCCCUUCUCUGAUCUCACACUCACUUGGCUUCCUCUUCUGCUUGUGUCAAAUUUCCCUCUUUCUCUUUUAUAAGAAUGGAGGGUCUACCUUUAGGGUUCACCCCGAUAAUCUAGGACAAACUGACCACCCAAAGAUCCUUUACUUAAUUACAUCUACAAAGUCCUUUUUUACUGUGUGAAGUAACAUUCACAGGAUCUAGAAAUUAGGACCCAGACAUCCUUGCAGCCAUUAUUCAUGAUACUAAGCCAAAUAAUGUUGAACAACAUGCAAUUGCAAUUUAGAAGGUGCAUUUAUAAAAAAUUUAGUUCUGUUGUAUGUCACUUAGGAUGAUUUAUGAAGUCAUUCUUUAAAAGCUUGAGGAAAUGUGUGCACCACCAGUUUAAAUUAUUUUCAACAUAAGCUUCAUUGAUUUUUUUUAAGUAAAUAUGUAACAUUUAUAUAUUUUGGUAAAGACAUCUUCUAUUUCAAUUGGAAGAAUACCACAGCUUGUUUGAAUUGUGUUUAGACCUCAAACAGUUCUAAACACACUUUUGCUUUACUGGUUUCUUAAUUUAGUGAAAUCAUUGUUUUUGCCACCACACUGUCUUCCACCAAAAUAAGUAUCUGUAUCACAAGAUCAAUGUUGAACUUUUUAAAAGAUUUUAUUUAUUUAAUUGAGAGACAGAGAAAGCUGGGGGGUGGGGAGCAGAGGGAGAGGGAAGGAAUUUCAAGCAGACGCCAUGCUGAGCAUGGAGCCCCACGUGGGGCUUGUUCCCAAGACCCUGAAAUCAUGACCUGAGCUAAAGCCAAGAGUCAGAUGCUCAACCAACUGAACACCCAGGUGCCCCUCAAUGUUGAACUUUUAAUAGCAUUUACAAUAAUAUUCAUGAUACUGUUUCACCUCUAACACACCAACAAAAAUAGUUUUCAAUCAUUAUUGGAGAUAAUGGACUUCCUGUUUGGAACAAUUAGUGAAUGAUAUAAAGAAGGCACCAUGUAACUCUUUGAUUAAUGAACCCAACUUUGUGGCUUCACUUUUUUUUAAGACUUUAUUUUUCUUUGAAUAGUGUUAGGUUCACAGCAACAUGAGAGGAAAGUAUGGAGAUUUUCCAUUU
RNAcentral lists this long non-coding RNA (3244 nucleotides) under Canis lupus familiaris (dog). RNAcentral's name for it is "lncRNA (ENSCAFG00805018352.1, ENSCAFG00845004344.1)". The record is from RNAcentral. Lineage: Eukaryota; Metazoa; Chordata; Mammalia; Carnivora; Canidae.